AGUGGGCCCCCCUGAGCCCCGGGCUGAGGCUCCGAGGUCAGCCCCACAGUUCAACCGUCCAGCCCAGCCCGCAGCAAGCUCUGGGUCCCAGGUCGCUCUCUCCCGGCUGCGCGCCUCUGAAACCUUUCCUCUGCCUCCCUCUAGUGGCCCCAAAGCGGAGGCACAGAAUCCGCGCCAGGUGAAAUGCAGGGAUCCGCAGGAGUCCUGGGCCGUGGGCCUGCAGCAGGUCAGCCCCACGCCGUCCUCGCAAUGCCCACUGCCGCUAUCUUCCCCUGGCCUGGUGGUAUCGCUGCGCAGGGUCAGUAACGAGGCACUGUACAGUCGCUGAGGACACGCAAGAAUCGCGGCCAGGCCAGGCAGUGGCGGCAGCACAGAUACCAUCUGGAAGUCAGCACCAGCCGUCUUUCCUAAGGCAAGGCUGGCCACGCCAUGGCGAGCGUUUUCUUCCUGGGAAUGCGGGUUCUGGGCCCGGAGGACCUGUCAGUUCUGCAGGCAUACGAAGACCGUGUGAGGACACACGGCCACGACCACACUUUCUGCCCCACUGAGCAGGGCCGGCUCUGCAGCACAAAUCCACCGCCCAGCGCCAGGUCGGCCGCGUUGGGGUUCACCUCAGCUCCUGCUGCUCCCGGCUGCAGGUGGGGAAGGGACAGCGGAGUCCCGGGGCUGCUGGGAAGCAAGAGGUUUGAGGCUCUGGCAGGGGGGACGGUCGCUGCCUCCGCUGCAUCUGUGUCCAGAGGGCUUCCAAAGCCAGCACUUGGUGGUGUGGAUCCCCCACGGAGGAGGGGGAGCCCAGUAGGUGCGAUAGAGUGCAGGGCUCAGCCCAGGCAGCCAUAGAUGAAGGAAAAGCACGCGUGGACAGAAAAAAGCACGAGAAGGGUGCAGCCCCGGGCACAAGGACAAUGCUGCGGUGCGGUCAACCAACACAGGUGAAGAAAGCUGACCAAUAUGAAGAAGAACUAGAAUUGGUCUUAUGAUCCCUACCCAUCCCACUUUUGAAGGAAGGCAGAAUGGUAAUGGGUGCCCACCCCUCCCUGGGAAGAGCCUCUGUAAUGUGGAGCUGCCCAAGGGAAAUGCUGAUACACAAAUGCUUCAGAUUGAAGAUCUACGUCCAGAAUGAACUGGCUUGGAAACCAAGGUUUCAUUGUGAUACUGUCGAUGAUUACACGUCUUUUGGGUUUACAUAAACAUCCUUGAAUUCCUGCACAUAGAUAGGUAGAAGGGAUAUCUACAAAGUGGUAUUCAUUAUAAAGUUCAGUACACACAUCCAGUAGAGACAAUGGCAAAAAGCUUUAUCAUCCAAACCAUAUAAAUAAUGUUUCCAUUAUUUAGAAGUUUUUCUUAUGCACAGAGCAGUCAUUGAUGUCAUCUUGUGAAUGUCUGCAUUUGUUAUUCUUCAGGACAGGACUGUGCUCUGGCAUUCUGAUAAUGCUGACUUACAUAAUUGGUAGAACUGUUCAAUCCCUUCCCCAUGGCAAAGGGGACAUGAUGCUAAUCUCCAGCCAGCAUUGACAGGGAAAUUUCGCUCCAAACACGUGCGGAUAUUCCUGGCACAUGCCAAACUCAGUCCCUGCGAAACUGCAGGGGACAGACAUAGGAAAGAACCAAAGCUCUGAGGCCAGGGUAAAUUUCCCAGCUGGGCCCUAGAAGUUGCUCAGCUCAAGUGGACGGGGAGGCACCCCGCACUCUCUGCCUUCUAGGGAGCUGAUGUUUGUCCCCAUCAAAGCCCAGCAUCUUCUCAGACCUGAUGGUUCCCGCAUAGAAUUAUUCUAUGUGUGUGCAGUGACUGACAGCAGAGAGGGUGACAGAGCUUUGAGAGGCCCUCCUGUCACCCUAAAGCUGCUGUCCUCUCCUCCUCCCCAGCACAGAACAUUUCAGGAACAGCAGCAGCCACAUAUGCCCAAGAAGUCCUGGAGACACCUGUGAGCAUCUGUGUAGUCUGCCCAGCCCAUGGCAGUAGCUACAACCACUGCCACCAUCAGCUACAGGACCAAGCCCAAAGUUCCACCCAGAGACCCAGAACACCAUGAUGACUUGAUAUUCCUGGAGCUCCGGAAACUUCUCUGAUGAUACAGGCAAAGAGGAAGAGACUGUGGUGUGAUGCUCAGGAAUCACCUGAGGCCCUGACUUUCUGUUGAGAGCCCUAAAGAGCCUACUGAGCCACUGCAUGUGGGACACACAAGUGGGGCUGUAUUGGGACUUGCAAGAAGCAGGUAGCAAGACAAAGGAAGAGGCUUCCAAAUCGCUGGCUAGGUCAGCUUUGUGGACAUAUUUGGUUGGAGACCUGUGACAGCUGGGAGCCAGGGGACCCAGCCACAUUCCAGGAGGAUGUGCCGUUCUCCUCCUUCCAUGCUGUCUUUCCCCCCUGUUAAGUUAUUAUUCUGAGUUGUUUACUUUCCAAGAUGCAAACUUUAAUAUCUUCUUUUAAACUUAGUCCUUCCACAACAGGUAGGAGGAGGCUGAAUGAGCCUGGAGACCACAGUCUGCACCCUCUCAGUGUGCAGGGAGCUCUCGGGAGGACGGACACUGGGACAGGUGUUCCUGGUACCUCUUUUCUCAAGCACUUGCACUGCUGCUCCCCCCCCCCACCCACCAUUUUAUUCUGUCUGGAAAGAUGAAAACAGAAACAGCAUAUUGAUCUCCUCUGAUGAUAUUUCCAGGCUUUAUUUAAAUCAUACAUUUCCUCAGAAAGAUGAUUUUUGCCUUCUGCACAGGUUACUUUUGAAGAAUAAAAUCCAACAGAUGUUA
Cavia porcellus (domestic guinea pig) is the source of this 2748-nucleotide long non-coding RNA. RefSeq lists it as uncharacterized. The transcript is spliced from 3 exons. Lineage: Eukaryota; Metazoa; Chordata; Mammalia; Rodentia; Caviidae. The record is from RefSeq and is a predicted model, not a curated record.